GUUGCUGUGCCUUGAAUCUCGUUCACCCAGUUCUGAUGUGUCGCAGGUAUUAACCACGGACCUGUGAUAGCCGGUGUGAUUGGAGCUCAGAAACCGCAGUAUGAUAUCUGGGGCAACACUGUAAACGUGGCCAGCAGGAUGGACAGCACCGGCGUGCUGGACAAGAUACAGGUCACCGAGGAGACCAGCCUCAUCCUCCAGACCCUGGGGUACACGUGCACGUGUCGAGGAAUAAUCAAUGUGAAAGGCAAGGGGGAGCUGAAGACGUACUUUGUGAACACAGAAAUGUCAAGGUCCCUUUCCCAGAGCAACUUGGCAUCCUGAAGAGUUGCCUUCACUUGGGCAAGAAGACUGUAUUUUCAGGAAGGUACAACGCACUUUUUGACUGCAACCUUUGUCCCUCUUUUUUGAUGUGCGUGCUCUGUUCUGUCCUAUGGAGCCUUUCAGACUUGUUCCUAUGACCCUGGUGGCAUAUCGUUUGGUGUCUGACGUGUGCCAAGAUCGCUCUGCCACUUGCACUGUGCUUACUCCGAAGCAGAAGGAAAAGGAGUGUGUGUUAUAGGAGAAACGCGUUCAACGAACUCACAAAGAUGACAGACGUGAAAUAAACAAAAAUUCUUAAGGCAAUAAAACUAGGGGGUGUAUAUUAUCUUCCGGUGCAUGUUCUUUUCUGGAAAAUAUGGUAGCUCGCCAACCGCAUCCGCUAGUCUGAUAUUAAAACACACAGUAUUUGUGAAUAAGUUGAUUUCUGUCACCCCACAUGGGAUUUGACUGUGUUCACCCACGUGUCUCAUCGCCAGUGGCUGUCCACGGGCCCCAGCGGGAUCCGUGGUCCUGUCGCCUUGCUGUGUCGUGUCUCGUGCCAUCCAUCACCAGGAUUAGUUCUCACAACCUAGAACCAGUUUUGUACCAAACGCGUCUGAUGUUUUGAUGCCAUUGUCUUUUGUAAGGUUGAUUCAUUAAAAGUUUUAUGUA
Molecule: long non-coding RNA, 975 nt
Organism: Ailuropoda melanoleuca (giant panda)
Lineage: Eukaryota; Metazoa; Chordata; Mammalia; Carnivora; Ursidae
Exons: 2
Source: RefSeq, a predicted model, not a curated record